UACGUAGGGUGCAAGCGUUGUCCGGAAUUAUUGGGCGUAAAGAGCUCGUAGGCGGUCUGUCGCGUCGAAUGUGAAAACCCGGGGCUCAACCCCGGGCCUGCAUUCGAUACGGGCAGACUAGAGUCAGGUAGGGGAGAACGGAAUUCCUGGUGUAGCGGUGAAAUGCGCAGAUAUCAGGAGGAACACCGGUGGCGAAGGCGGGACUCUGGGCCGAUACUGACGCUGAGGAGCGAAAGCGUGGGGAGCGAACAGG
This 253-nucleotide ribosomal RNA is filed under the name uncultured bacterium. Its description in RNAcentral is "partial 16S ribosomal RNA". It matches the Rfam family "Bacterial small subunit ribosomal RNA", at positions 524 to 776 of the family's 1533-position model. The record is from RNAcentral.